GCCUGUUGCUGCUGGAGCUGAUUCCCUUCCCCUCCUCAUCUCCCACCUCCUUUCAGUCUCACAUACACACACAGAUGCUGCCACAGACACACGCGAGCGCAAAUAUUUACACACUGCCACACCGAAGAAAUCCAUGCACGUUUUCCUGCAAACACGCGCGCGCGCACACGUACUUCGGCGGGCGCCCACGUCCUCUGUCUCACCAACAGACACAGACAUAUACACUUCUAGGCCAGGAAAGCGCUAACCAGGGCCCUGUGACUCUACGCAGGUUCCAGAACACGCCUUCUACAUUUGUUACUGAACCGAUCAGCGAACACAGACAAACGUGCCAACACUUAAGUCUACUGGCUGGACUUCAUCUCCAUGGCAACAAGCAUGGAAGGUUUUAAGAAAAAUAAGAGAGUAGUGGAUUAAUCACUGGUUAAGAGCCAACAGACUUCACUCCUCCAACAAUCAGCUAUGAUACUGUGUCUGUGUCUACAUUAUGCAUUUUCAAAAGGCGAAGAGUUGAUUCCAGAAGGAACUGUGAAGAGCCACAACAAUGUGCCAGUGAAUAAUGAGUAGUACCUACUGUGGCAACUCUUCAGCUAAGAUGAGUGUCAACGAAGUAUCAGCUUUCUCAUUGACUCUGGAGCAAAAAACUGGCUUUGCUUUUGUUGGGAUUUUGUGUAUCUUCUUGGGACUUCUUAUUAUCCGAUGCUUCAAAAUCCUGCUAGACCCAUAUAGUAGCAUGCCUUCCUCUACAUGGGAAGAUGAAGUUGAAGAGUUUGAUAAAGGGACAUUUGAAUAUGCACUCGCGUGAGAGUUCCAGCUAUAUGGUUUUUAUGGUUGUGCCAUCGGGACACAUUCUGGAUACAAUUGUAACUACCUUGAGGGUGUGGGAGAGAGGCUCAUUUUGUUCAGUGAAUUCAAUAAACAUCUGUGACUAAUUUCUUCACCAUGCUGUGUAAAUGAUAAACUAUUGUUGGGAUUCCUCACUUUCCUCUGUUCCCACUUAGAGGUUUCCAAUGAAUAGAGCAUAAGGAUGGCUGCAGCCAUGUUUACCAUCUUUAUUCUUAUCUUGAAC
This 1069-nucleotide long non-coding RNA is filed under the name Pan troglodytes (chimpanzee). RNAcentral's name for it is "long non-coding RNA NONPTRT005336". The record is from RNAcentral. Lineage: Eukaryota; Metazoa; Chordata; Mammalia; Primates; Hominidae.